RNAcentral lists this ribosomal RNA (254 nucleotides) under uncultured bacterium. RNAcentral describes it as "partial 16S ribosomal RNA". It matches the Rfam family "Bacterial small subunit ribosomal RNA", at positions 524 to 776 of the family's 1533-position model. The record is from RNAcentral.
UACGGAGGGGGCAAGCGUUGUUCGGAAUUACUGGGCGUAAAGGGCGCGCAGGCGGCUGCUCAAGUCAGGCGUGAAAGGCCUGGGCUCAACCCGGGAAUUGCGCUUGAGACUGGGCUGGCUUGAGUGCGGGAGAGGAUGGUGGAAUUCCCAGUGUAGAGGUGAAAUUCGUAGAUAUUGGGAAGAACACCGGUGGCGAAGGCGGCCAUCUGGACCGCAACUGACACUGAGGGACGAAAGCUAGGGGAGCGAAUGGG